RNAcentral lists this ribosomal RNA (233 nucleotides) under uncultured bacterium. Its description in RNAcentral is "partial 16S ribosomal RNA". It matches the Rfam family "Bacterial small subunit ribosomal RNA", at positions 524 to 754 of the family's 1533-position model. The record is from RNAcentral.
UACAGAGGGGGCAAGCGUUAUUCGGAAUUAUUGGGCGUAAAGGGCGCGUAGGCGGCUUGGCAAGUGGAAGGUGAAAUCCCUCGGCUUAACCGAGGAACUGCCCUCCAAACUGCUUCGCUUGAGACCGGGAGAGGUGAGUGGAAUUCCCAGUGUAGCGGUGAAAUGCGUAGAUAUUGGGAGGAACACCAGUGGCGAAGGCGGCUCACUGGACCGGUACUAGACGCUGAUAGCGC